AUUGAACGCUGGCGGCAUGCCUUACACAUGCAAGUCGAACGGCAGCACGGGUGCUUGCACCUGGUGGCGAGUGGCGAACGGGUGAGUAAUACAUCGGAACAUGUCCUGUAGUGGGGGAUAGCCCGGCGAAAGCCGGAUUAAUACCGCAUACGAUCUACGGAUGAAAGCGGGGGACCUUCGGGCCUCGCGCUAUAGGGUUGGCCGAUGGCUGAUUAGCUAGUUGGUGGGGUAAAGGCCUACCAAGGCGACGAUCAGUAGCUGGUCUGAGAGGACGACCAGCCACACUGGGACUGAGACACGGCCCAGACUCCUACGGGAGGCAGCAGUGGGGAAUUUUGGACAAUGGGCGAAAGCCUGAUCCAGCAAUGCCGCGUGUGAGAAGAAAGCCUUCGGGUUGUAAAGCACUUUUGUCCGGAAAGAAAUCCUUGGCCCUAAUACAGUCGGGGGAUGACGGUACCGGAAGAAUAAGCACCGGCUAACUACGUG
Molecule: ribosomal RNA, 486 nt
Filed under: uncultured bacterium
Lineage: Bacteria
Description: partial 16S ribosomal RNA
Rfam family: Bacterial small subunit ribosomal RNA
Source: RNAcentral